ACUCAAAGGAAUAGACGGGGGCCCGCACAAGCGGAGGAACAUGUGGUUUAAUUCGAUGAUACGCGAGGAACCUUACCCGGGAUUGAAAUGUACCUGAUGUGAUGUGAGAGCAUCAUUCCAGCGAUGGCAGGUAUGUAGGUGCUGCAUGGUUGUCGUCAGCUCGUGCCGUGAGGUGUCGGCUUAAGUGCCAUAACGAGCGCAACCCUGACUGUCAGUUGCUAACAGGUUAAGCUGAGGACUCUGGCGGGACUGCCGGCGUAAGCUGUGAGGAAGGUUGGGAUGACGUCAAAUCAGCACGGCCCUUACAUCCGGGGCGACACACGUGUUACAAUGGCAUGGACAAAGGGUUGCUACCCGGUGACGGGAUGCUAAUCUCUAAACCAUGUCUCAGUUCGGAUCGGAGUCUGCAACUCGACUUCGUGAAGCUGGAUUCGCUAGUAAUCGCGCAUCAGCCAUGGCGCGGUGAAUACGUUCCCGGGCCUUGUACACACCGCCCGU
Molecule: ribosomal RNA, 498 nt
Filed under: uncultured bacterium
Lineage: Bacteria
Description: bacterial SSU rRNA
Rfam family: Bacterial small subunit ribosomal RNA
Source: RNAcentral